Non-coding RNA from Parasteatoda tepidariorum (common house spider), 563 nucleotides. NCBI's taxonomy places the organism in Eukaryota, Metazoa, Arthropoda, Arachnida, Araneae, Theridiidae. The record is from RefSeq and is a predicted model, not a curated record.
AUUUCUGACCAGUUUUACUUAAAUUUGAAUAAUAUAGUGUUAAAAAUAGUAUUUUUUUUUUUCAUGUCAAAAACUAAACUAGUAAAACAAGGUAUUUCGUUAAAUAGAUAUUUCAAAAUGUAUUGUUCUCAAAGUUAAAAAAAUAUUUUCAUUAAAAUAACUAAUUUUUUAAGUUUUUUAGAAAUAAUAAUACUAGACAUGUAGAAAAUUAAAAACAAAACAUUUUAGGCUUUUUCUUUUUAAUUUUCCUAUAAUCGCUUACUUCUAUUUCAGCAAUCGUUCAUUUACUGUACCUUCAACUAGUGGAUUUGUUACUAACAACAGAAACCAGUCACAGUUAAGAGCAUUUUGUAUGGCCGAGGAUGAAGCAGAAAUGUUGAGCCAGAGCAGUAUAUCUGAAAUGCAAAGUGAUACUCCUAAUCAGAGACUCAAGGAAAUUAAUAGGCGCAACACUCUGUGCCUGCCUCACCUGAAGAGUCAAUAUCCUCUUGAAUUGAAUACAACACCUUCGCAGCACAAAUAUUUUCGACCACCGGCCACGCCAUCAUGUUCAAAAGAAAGUA